GACAUCAACUCAGGUAAGACUACCCGCUGAAUUUAAGCAUAUUAAUAAGCGGAGGAAAAGAAACUAACAAGGAUUCCCUCAGUAACGGCGAGUGAAGCGGGAAGAGCUCAAAUUUGGAAUCGCCAUUUGGUGAAUUGUAGUUAAUAGAGGUGUUUUCGGAGUGGACGCGCGGCCAAAGUUUCUUGGAACAGAACGUCAUGGAGGGUGAGAACCCCGUUUGAGCUGCGCUGAAAUUCUUACGAUACGCUUUCUACGAGUCGGGUUGUUUGGGAAUGCAGCCCUAAAUGGGUGGUAAAUUUCAUCUAAAGCUAAAUAUUGGCACGAGACCGAUAGCGAACAAGUACCGUGAGGGAAAGAUGAAAAGCACUUUGAAAAGAGAGUCAAAAAGUACGUGAAACCGCUGGAAGGGAAACGAAUAAAGUCAGCAGAGUGUCGUUCUACUCAGCUUGUGGGCGGGUGGCGUUGGGCAGCUGGAACCGCAAGGUCUGGCUGUUUGGCUUUAAGCUUGCGCAUGAGUGUAUUUGGGGCGUGCACAGGUCAAUGUGGGUUUCUGGCGCUGGAUAAGAUUGCUGGAAGGUAGCUCGGGUUUUUGCUCGAGUGUUACAGUCAGGAAUUCCUGCAGCGUUGGGGACUGAGGCCGAUUGGAACGACUUGGCUUCGGCACAUACGUUCCUUGGACAUUGACGAAAUGACUUUAUCCGACCCGUCUUGUAACACGGACC
Molecule: ribosomal RNA, 722 nt
Filed under: uncultured Stichotrichia
Lineage: Eukaryota; Ciliophora; Spirotrichea
Description: partial Eukaryotic large subunit ribosomal RNA
Rfam family: Eukaryotic large subunit ribosomal RNA
Source: RNAcentral